Molecule: long non-coding RNA, 2868 nt
Organism: Lotus japonicus
Lineage: Eukaryota; Viridiplantae; Streptophyta; Magnoliopsida; Fabales; Fabaceae
Exons: 13
Source: RefSeq, a predicted model, not a curated record
UGCUUCAUGUUGACAGGGUAGUACUCUGAGACCAUAAUGGGUAUAGAUUCAGCAGUACCAAUUUCAUAUGAUUAACUUGCUUUAUUGCAAUUUCUUCAUUUCAAAAGCUCGUUGUUGCUUUCGUUGUAAGUUUCUUUUUCCGAACCUUUUCUGUUGGCUGUUGCGAUCGAAGCUUUUAUUAUCCAAUGAGUCAAAGAUUUCGGAACCUAUUCCCUUCGUUGUUGCGAUCAAAGCUUCAAUAUCUCGGUUCCGUUUUCUCAUUCCAGGGGUGUUGCCUAUUGAUCUUCAGGGACCAGCUUCUCUUCUUCCUCAGAUCAAUACUGCCCGAAAUCUCACCCUGGCCGAUGAAGGUGUGGUGGAAAACACACGAUUGGAGGUGCCUAAGAGUCUCUUCCAUUUCAGCCUCAGGGGACAAGGAAGAGGGGAACAACAGUGGAUGUACUAUUAUAGAGAUAGAGAGAGUAAGACAACAUUUCAUGGCAAAGUUGCAAUUAGUUCAUACCCUAAUUGAGAGUUGGUUUUGGAAAAGAUGGGGUCCCAAGUUAAGGGGUUGAACAGUUUUUUUGUCAUCCAUUGUAUUUCAAGUUAGGGGACCUUCAUUUCAAUUUGUGCCGGUGGGUAACGGCGUGCAUAGCAUCAACGAGAGUAUGACUAUAAGUAAUUCUCCACCUUUGAUCUCCACAGGCUUGUAUUAAAGAUAGCAUCCAUGGAUCCGCAGGGCCAGACAACUUAUUUGCAACGACUUCAGAAUGUGGAAAAGGUAAAAUGUUAAUAGCAUUAAGAAGCAAUGUUGCUGGAGUGACAGAACAAUUCUGUUUGUGCAAUGGAAGCUUGUGUGGGCAGAUAGUUUAUAUGCAAAGGAGGAAUAGAAAUUAUAUAGUAUUUGAUGAUGAUAGAUCAGUUUCAUGAACGUUUAAAGGAAAACCCUCUGGCAUUCGCUCGGUAGAUUUCUGUAUCCGUUUUCAUUCCGCAAUCAAGGCUUCCGUUUCAAUUCCACCCCCUCUUCAAACCCCCAGUCGUUUUGUUCCGGUAUAAAGAGAAGCUUGGAAAUUGGGUGUACAGAACAUGAAUCCUCAAGGACUGCAAUGGGUAGCAGGGCAUCGCUGAAGCCACCAGAAAGGUUCUCCGGACUCACAUUCUUUCGUCUCGGCGAUUUCAUGAGAGAUGUGUGAGAUGGCUGAGUAUGGCACGCGCAGCCCCUGCCUGCGGCGGAGAAAGGAACAACAGGGGAAAGAGUAAUAGAGAGGAAGCAUGAGAGACAAGUCCACGCAACUGAACAGACUCUCAAAUUCUCUGAUCUUGCUGCCCUCUAAUACCAGGUUUUGGAGAAUUUUUUCAAGCUCCGUAAUGCAAGAAAUAUGUUUUUUUCAGAAACUAUUAUAAAUUUUACCCAAGGUACUGCUCCUGUUCUUCCACCAUACUUCCGUUUAGAGUUGGUGCAAACUGAAAAAAUAAGUCACUUCUGAUUUUUACCAAUGUUAUCUUCCUGGAGCACUUUUAUAUGUUCCUGAUCAAUUUCACAUGUAAUGGAAAAAAGGCAUAGUUUUCUUGAUUUUUAUACUUUCAAAUAAUUUUGUUGUUUACAUAUUUCUUUUCUUAAGUAACUUCUUAACUGUUGCAAAAUAGCUUAGAAGACCUAUUCAACCUCUUGCAUUUCAUGGGGGCUGAUCCUUGGUGUAGCUGGGCAUGGUAUGGCCAAAAUAAUUUUGAUAUUUUUCUUUAUAUUCAACCUGUGAUACAUUUGUAUUUUAAUUCUGUGUAGGUCACACAGGCUGACUCAAAAGCCUUAUGAGAAUGGUGAUCUAUGAAUUUAGUUUGUUGUGCGUUUACUUAUUAGUACAUUAUUAUUUUCCCCAUCCUCUGGUGUGACCCACAUUGAUGGAAAAUUGUAUGGCAACAGUCAACAGAUAUGAGCCAAUUAUAUUCACAUUGUAACCUUUUUGCUGGGCAGAGUCAAUAUGAACCCCAGUAUAACAAAUUUUCAUUCUACUGUUGAAUAAGGAUUCAGUCCUUACUUAUCAUUUCCACAAUUUCAUCAACAUUUCUGUCAAAAUAUGUACAUGCUUGGAUUUGCUUAACUCACUCCUAGAUCUCUUUUUACAGACUCUACAGGUGAAUUUUUAACAUUGAGAGUGUGGAAAACCAGGGAGCCAUGGUGCUUAUUCAUGCAGUAUGGAGAGGAUAGUUAUUAGGCGGUGUCAUUCAUCACCGUCAUCACCUUCAUUGCUGGGAACCAAAGGAUUGUUGCUAGGACCCUGAAAAGAUGAAUGAGGGCCAUAACCAAGAGGGGGGUAUAAUGGCUGAUUUGAGUACCAAAUGCAGAGCUAAUUGGUAAAAAUAUAAAGAUAGAGAACAUUCUGAUGGAUGAUAGUCUCUGCAAAAGUUAGUGGAUGGCAUCAAAGGUUUGACAUAUUCUCAUAAAUUUGUGCCACAAGUAGAGGAGCUAAAAUAUGAGUUGGAGAGGUUUUUCAGAAGCUGCAUCACCAACACUAAGUGGCACAACCGAUCCUUCUCUCAGGGGAACUUGCACAUACAAAUCAUUGAAGACUGCAGUUCAGAUCACCAUCAAUUGUCUCAGCAAUGUUUCCAGUAAUCACCCUUCAAUAGCAAGAGAAUAUCAUGGUUGCGAAAAAAGUGGGUUGAUCUUCUGUGCUUAAACACUGGUGGUGCGUGCAUAGAAGAAUGGAUGAUGCUGAGGCCAUGGAGUAGACACUUGAUCACUUGGACACUGCACAGAAAGAGUUUCACAACUGAUUUUUUAUUUUGCCCAAGUUGAUAUUUCUUUAUUUUAAACUAUAUUCAUAUAAAUGAUCAGAUUUUAUGUCUUGGAGAAAUUACUGACAUAACUUCAGUUUCUGUUGUUUAUCA